GACAUUUCCAAACAAUAUGAAGUCCAUUAUUCCACAAUGAGAAAGAUUAUUAACAAAUGGAGAACAUUCAAGACAGUUACCAAUCUAUCCAAGAGUGGGCAUCCCAGAAAAUUCACCCCAAGAUCAGACCUGAAUGAAGCUCCAAGAAACUUGAACAUACAUCCAGGGAUGUACAGUCCUGUGUCAACGUGGUAAAUGUUCAUGACUUCUCCAUGAGGCAAUGACUGGACAAGUGUGGCUUUCAUGGAAGAGCAGCCAAAUGAAAACUCCUUAACUCCAAAAAGAACAUUGCAGAACGGCUUAAGUUUGGAAAUUUGCACCUGAAUGGACAACACCACAGCGAAAACUGAAAACGGCAUAUCAGCAAAACAUUGUGUCAACUGCCAAGCAUGGUGGUAGGAGGGUGUGUGGGGGGGGAUCAGGCAACAGGACAAUGAUCCUAAGUACACCAGCAAAGCUACAACUGAAUGGCUGACAAAGGAUUCAUUCAGGGUUUUGGAAUGGCCAAGUCAAAGUCCAGGCUUCAAUCCCAUUGAGGUGUUCAUGAGAGCUGUACCUAAACGGAUGCCCUCAAACAUCAAAGAGCUGAAGCAGUUUUGAAAGGAAGAAUUGGUCAGAAUCGCUCUAACGCAAUGCAAGAGACUGAUAAUCGAAUUCAGAAAAUGAUUACUUAUUAAGGUUAUUGCCGCUAAAGGGGAUUCUACAAGCUACUGACUCAGUGAGUGCUCUUCUCUUUUCACAUGAAGUUUCUGCACGAUGGCUUAUUUUUGGUUUAAAUAAAUAAUAAAAUAGUAAAAUGUGUUUGUCACAU
Anguilla rostrata (American eel) is the source of this 811-nucleotide long non-coding RNA. RefSeq lists it as uncharacterized. Lineage: Eukaryota; Metazoa; Chordata; Actinopteri; Anguilliformes; Anguillidae. The transcript has 2 exons. The record is from RefSeq and is a predicted model, not a curated record.